RNAcentral lists this ribosomal RNA (460 nucleotides) under uncultured bacterium. RNAcentral describes it as "partial 16S ribosomal RNA". It matches the Rfam family "Bacterial small subunit ribosomal RNA", at positions 338 to 795 of the family's 1533-position model. The record is from RNAcentral.
CCUACGGGGUGCAGCAGUGAGGAAUAUUGGUCAAUGGACGAGAGUCUGAACCAGCCAAGUAGCGUGAAGGAUGACUGUCCUAUGGGUUGUAAACUUCUUUUAUAUGGGAAUAAAAUGUUCCACGUGUGGGAUUUUGUAUGUACCAUAUGAAUAAGGAUCGGCUAACUCCGUGCCAGCAGCCGCGGUAAUACGGAGGAUCCGAGCGUUAUCCGGAUUUAUUGGGUUUAAAGGGAGCGUCGGUGGAUUGUUAAGUCAGUUGUGAAAGUUUGCGGCUCAACCGUAAAAUUGCAGUUGAAACUGGCAGUCUUGAGUACAGUAGAGGUGGGCGGAAUUCGUGGUGUAGCGGUGAAAUGCUUAGAUAUCACGAAGAACUCCGAUUGCGAAGGCAGUUCACUGGACUGCAACUGACACUGAGGCUCGAAAGUGUGGGUAUCAAACAGGAUUAGAUACCCCUGUAGUC